Molecule: unclassified non-coding RNA, 476 nt
Filed under: Hevea brasiliensis (rubber tree)
Lineage: Eukaryota; Viridiplantae; Streptophyta; Magnoliopsida; Malpighiales; Euphorbiaceae
Source: RNAcentral
CUCGGAAAACUACGGGAUUUGAAAGUUUCUUUGUUUGUGUACUUCCUCGCAUGUUUAACUAAAUACAAGAUUCGAAUUUGGCUGCUAAUAUUACAUAGCUUAUCGAUAUCUUAUCUCUUUCUCUACAUGCUUGAAGAUUUUCUUGCGUUUUCUCAAAAUCCAAACACUGGAUUAAUUUCUUUCUUUUUCGUAAUAGAUUGAAAUAUAAAUAUGGUUGAGAUCUUUUGUGAUGAUUUUGAUUUGCUUGGUUAUUUUGUUUGUCUGUCUGCUUUUGGUUUCGGAAAGUUACUUUCCCUUUUCUGAAACAUUCAAGCCAAGUAAUUGGUAUUUAGUAAUCAUUUGCUCUUUUUUCUUGUUUUUUCAAACCUCAGAACUAGUCAAAAAUUCUUCCCUCUUUUAAAAAAGUAGUUAAAAAAGAAAUUUUUAAAGCUUGGAAUUUAUUGGUUGUCGCAAUUAUUCGCUAAAUUUUUUUUAGG